UUACGGCUCAGUAACACGUCGAUAAUCUGCCCUAAGGUUGAGGAUACCCACGGAAAACUGUGGCUAAUACUUGAUAGUGAAUGGAUUCUGGAACGAACCAUUCAUUAAACGUAAGGCCUUAGGAUGAGUCGGCGGCGGAUUAGGCAGUNGGCGGUGUAACGGACCACCAAACCUUAGAUCCGUAGGGGCCCUGAGAGGGGUAGCCCCGAGAGGGACACUGAAAUACUGGUCCCAGCUCCACGGAGUGCAGCAGGCGCGAAACCUCCACAAUGCGCGAAAGCGUGAUGGGGGGAUCCUGAGUGCUUACAUUUUUUGUAAGCUUUUGCCAAGAGUUCACAUCUUGGAGAAUAAGUGGUGGGUAAGACCGGUGCCAGCAGCCGCGGUAACCCCGGCGCCACGAGUGGCAAUCUUAUAUUGGGCCUAAAGCAUUCGUAGCAGGUUUGAAAAAUCCUUUGUGAAAUUGUUGAACUCAAUACAACAGCGUGCAGAGGACACUUUCAGACUAGAGACUGGGAGGAGUUGGGGGUAUGCCUUGGGGAGCGGUUAAAUGUGAUAAUCCAAGGUAGACCACCUGUGGCGAAGGCGCCCAACUAGAACAGUUCUGACUGUGAGGGAUGAAAGCUAGGGGAGCGAUCCGGAUUAGAUACCCGAGUAGUCCUAGCUGUAAACACUGUGAGCUAGGUGUC
RNAcentral lists this ribosomal RNA (686 nucleotides) under uncultured euryarchaeote. RNAcentral describes it as "bacterial SSU rRNA". It matches the Rfam family "Archaeal small subunit ribosomal RNA", at positions 83 to 775 of the family's 1478-position model. Lineage: Archaea; Methanobacteriati; Methanobacteriota. The record is from RNAcentral.